GGAAACCACGGACGUGCACCCCAGACCAUUUGGCCAGCCUGUCUGCCAGUUCUGCUCCCUGCGUUCUCUCUGGUCACCUUAUUUCCCUCCUGAGGCAGGAUUCCUCCUGUUAUCUGUACCUGCCUCCCAACCGGAUCCUCACCUUAGAAGUGGUGCUGAUACCAGUGGCAGAAGACAGAGAGAUCUGAAGCAUGGGUGGACUUCAGCGCCCAGGGAAUGUCUUGAAGCUGGAAGGGGCCGUGUGUAGAGAAACUACAGUGGCCUUGCCGAGGUGGCAGAGGCCCCCUGCUUGCAGCCAGCCAGGAAGAGGCGAGCUCAGUGUGUAAUCUCAGGGAAGUGGAUCCAGCCAGCAACCUCCCUGAUGGUGAGAGGGCUCCCCCUCAGAGCGUCCUGGUAAGAGCCCGGCAGGGCCGACAUGGUGGCUUUGGCCUUGAGAGAGCCUGAGCAGAGAGAGCCCAGUGGAGCCAUGCCAGUUUUCUGACCUAGAACUGUGAGCUAAGACGGUUGUGUUGCUUUAAGCCCCUACAUUUGCAGUAAUUUGUUAUAGCAGCAACGGGAAACGGAUGCAUGGGGCAGCAGCGACAUGCUGGGAGAGGCUGGUGACCUCCUGCUGGCCAGGGCCUCAGCUCCUCCUUUUCUUUCCUUCCUUCACAUUCUUUGCAUGGUCCCAUGACCUCUUCCCAGCUACAAAUUCUCUCCAUGAAUUUCUGCUGUGCUGGACUUUGAAAACAUUGGUAUGACCAUCACAGGAAAGAAACUCCCUCUGGAAACCGUGUAUUACUACACCUUCGUGGAGCUUCACACUGAUUCCAGACCCAGAAGGGCUACCCCGGAACUCCAGGGGAUUUUUAAAGCAGUUCCCACCUCUUCACUCAUCGUGCUGGAGGUGCUGGAAGCCAUAUUCAGUGUGAAGUGAGAGAAUGUGUAAUUUCGGUUCCGAAGAUGUUACGCUUCAUUUAUGUACAGGAGAGGUUUGUUCCGGGGGUGCCACAGCACAAUGCCAUUAGGGUGUCUGGAGGAUAAAAACAUGAACAGGGCCAUCUUCUGAUCUCUCCUCCAAACCGCUGUGUUCAAGGGAGGGGACCUCAGCUCAUUCGCAGGAGGCCAUCUUUCCACAGGGUCCUCACUGUUUCAAAAACAGGAGAAAACCUCAACAGCUCUAAAGCUGUAAUUAUGCCUUCUU
This is a non-coding RNA of Manis javanica (Malayan pangolin), 1183 nucleotides long. The record is from RefSeq and is a predicted model, not a curated record. NCBI's taxonomy places the organism in Eukaryota, Metazoa, Chordata, Mammalia, Pholidota, Manidae.